GCAUGUCAUGUGAUCUCCCUGUGAAUGAGCCAAGACAAGGACUCCCAGCCUUCUGACUGCUAAAUCAUUGCUCUCUUCAUUACAUCAUAUUGUCACAGCUGUUUUGCAAGAUGACUAAUUUAUGAGAAUAGUUCAAACAACGUAUCUGGAAGUAGAUUUUUAAAAAGAGAACAGAGUCUUCAAUUGCCAGUGAUUGUCUAUAGCUUUUACUUCCUCAAGACACCACUUUACGUUGUUUAUUCUGAUCCAGGCACAGUACAACUUCAUUUUAUUCUCCAAAUAAAAGACUGCUGAAGCUUCUGAGAAAAAGAAAAAAGCGAAGGAUCAUCUUUGAUCAUGCAGUGAGCUGAUUCCAAAAUGUGGACAAAAAGCAGACUCAAAGGCAAUGAUUCCGAGAAACAGUGAAUGUCACAAGGAGACACCUGGGCUCUUUAUAAAGAGGUCUCUCUCAGCCUCCCUGCGCUUAGGGACAGUGGACAGCACUGCAGCACUGCAGCACUGCACUUGGGGCCAUUUUAAACAGCGAAGUCACCAAAACCACGCAAAAAAAUGCUAAAAGCACAGUACUAAACAGACCAUGGAAAAGACAUAUGUACAGUAUGAGAAGGUAAAGUGUCUGUCUGACCUCAGUGGGGAGCAUAAGCACUGGAUGACUCAACGUUUUCACUUCUCUGUGCAUGUCCAAAAAUGACAAAAAUGACUCAGUGGAAGUACUCUGCCUGUUGAUUUGGGGGUUAAAAUACAU
RNAcentral lists this long non-coding RNA (745 nucleotides) under Homo sapiens (human). Its description in RNAcentral is "HSALNT0388697". The record is from RNAcentral. Lineage: Eukaryota; Metazoa; Chordata; Mammalia; Primates; Hominidae.